Long non-coding RNA from Plodia interpunctella (Indianmeal moth), 344 nucleotides. RefSeq lists it as uncharacterized. The transcript is spliced from 3 exons. Lineage: Eukaryota; Metazoa; Arthropoda; Insecta; Lepidoptera; Pyralidae. The record is from RefSeq and is a predicted model, not a curated record.
CUCCGAUUUGACUUGAAAUGAUAAUUGAACAUCCUGAAUGACGCGGCCGACGAGUUUUACAGCUAUCGAGUAAUUACUCAACCAACAAAUAGGACGACGAUUUAAAUCGAAAAAUAGGUAGUGAAAACCAUCGUAAAAUGGGUUUAAUCGGAUCGGAAUUUCGUAAACAAAUAGCGGGUAUGGAGCAUGACAGGUGCCGUUGAGAUGGGCGGAGGGGUUGUAUGAAGCAAUGGAAGUCCAUUACUGGGCAUACAAACUGCCCUCGACGGAGCAAUACUGUGAUUAAGCGCUCCGAGAAACUCCAAAUUACACUAACAAGUCUUUCCGAUAGCGGACGGAAUAAG